This 253-nucleotide ribosomal RNA is filed under the name uncultured bacterium. Its description in RNAcentral is "partial 16S ribosomal RNA". It matches the Rfam family "Bacterial small subunit ribosomal RNA", at positions 524 to 776 of the family's 1533-position model. The record is from RNAcentral.
UACAGAGGGGGCAAGCGUUGUUCGGAAUUACUGGGCGUAAAGGGCGCGUAGGCGGCCUGCUAAGUCACACGUGAAAUCCCUCGGCUCAACCGAGGAAGUGCAUUUCAUACUGCAUGGCUUGAGGGAGACAGGGGUAAGCGGAACUGAUGGUGGAGCGGUGAAAUGCGUUGAUAUCAUCAGGAACACCGGUGGCGAAAGCGGCUUACUGGGUCUCUUCUGACGCUGAGGUACGAAAGCUAGGGUAGCGAACGGG